AUUGAACGCUGGCGGCAGGCUUAACACAUGCAAGUCGAGCGAGCGGCGGACGGGUGAGUAAUGUCUGGGAAACUGCCUGAUGGAGGGGGAUAACUACUGGAAACGGUAGCUAAUACCGCAUACCAUCAGAUGUGCCCAGAUGGGAUUAGCUGGUUGGUGGGGUAAUGGCUCACCUAGGCGACGAUCCCUAGCUGGUCUGAGAGGAUGACCAGCCAAACUGGAACUGGACCACGGUCCAGACUCCUCCGGGAGGCAGAAGUGGGGAAUAUUGCCCAAUGGGCGAAAGCCGGAUGCAGCCAUGCCGCGUGUGUGUAGAAGGCCUUCGGGUUGUAAAGUACUUUCAGCGGGGAGGCGUUACUCGCAGAAGAAGCACCGGCUAACUCCGUGCCAGCCGCCGCGGUAAUAC
RNAcentral lists this ribosomal RNA (406 nucleotides) under uncultured bacterium. RNAcentral describes it as "partial 16S ribosomal RNA". It matches the Rfam family "Bacterial small subunit ribosomal RNA", at positions 30 to 526 of the family's 1533-position model. The record is from RNAcentral.